Molecule: ribosomal RNA, 483 nt
Filed under: Escherichia coli
Lineage: Bacteria; Pseudomonadati; Pseudomonadota; Gammaproteobacteria; Enterobacterales; Enterobacteriaceae
Description: partial 23S ribosomal RNA
Rfam family: Bacterial large subunit ribosomal RNA
Source: RNAcentral
GCCGAAAGGCGUAGUCGAUGGGAAACAGGUUAAUAUUCCUGUACUUGGUGUUACUGCGAAGGGGGGACGGAGAAGGCUAUGUUGGCCGGGCGACGGUUGUCCCGGUUUAAGCGUGUAGGCUGGUUUUCCAGGCAAAUCCGGAAAAUCAAGGCUGAGGCGUGAUGACGAGGCACUACGGUGCUGAAGCAACAAAUGCCCUGCUUCCAGGAAAAGCCUCUAAGCAUCAGGUAACAUCAAAUCGUACCCCAAACCGACACAGGUGGUCAGGUAGAGAAUACCAAGGCGCUUGAGAGAACUCGGGUGAAGGAACUAGGCAAAAUGGUGCCGUAACUUCGGGAGAAGGCACGCUGAUAUGUAGGUGAAGUCCCUCGCGGAUGGAGCUGAAAUCAGUCGAAGAUACCAGCUGGCUGCAACUGUUUAUUAAAAACACAGCACUGUGCAAACACGAAAGUGGACGUAUACGGUGUGACGCCUGCCCGGUGC